GCGGGGUUAGCUCAGCUGGGAGAGCAUCUGCCUUACAAGCAGAGGGUCGGCGGUUCGAGCCCGUCACUUCGCACCA
RNAcentral lists this transfer RNA (76 nucleotides) under Lachnospiraceae bacterium. RNAcentral's name for it is "tRNA-Val". It matches the Rfam family "tRNA". Rfam says of the family: Transfer RNA (tRNA) molecules are approximately 80 nucleotides in length. Their secondary structure includes four short double-helical elements and three loops (D, anti-codon, and T loops). Lineage: Bacteria; Bacillati; Bacillota; Clostridia; Lachnospirales; Lachnospiraceae. The record is from RNAcentral.